Rattus norvegicus (Norway rat) is the source of this 1051-nucleotide long non-coding RNA. NCBI's taxonomy places the organism in Eukaryota, Metazoa, Chordata, Mammalia, Rodentia, Muridae. The record is from Ensembl.
CUCCUGGGUGCUGGGGAAAAGUCUGUUGACAAAGCCACCAGCUGUCCCCAGUUGGAGCCAGGGAGACAGACUCCUCCUCCCUGAACCACCACCUACACAGGGAGACCAUUCCUACCAGGACCCAGUCAGCAACGGAACUUGGACCAUCUUGAAGCUCAGAUCACAGGCUCCGAGCGACCUCCCCUCCAGCUCCAGCUGCCCAGCCUAACAAGAACAAGGGCACAAGACCUCACCCAGGCCUUUCUGGAACCAGCAGCCAGUAGGCUCUGGAGAUUCCAAAGGGCAGCUGGUUGCCAAGGAGAAAAAAAAUAAAAUAAGACUACAGAAGAAUGAAGAGACCUGAAGGACCCCAACUUUUUCUGGCAUCCCCAGGACUGGUUCUUCUGAGGAAAGAAGAGUAGAGAGGUUCAUCAGAAGCAGAAGGCCCAAGUGGGAGCUCCCUGAAGCCCACCAUUGGGGACACGUGUUGAGCGAUGUCCUGCAGCACGGAGCACAGUGGAUCCCUGGAGAGGAGGAGGCAGACUGGGCCUGUGAAUGAGAGGCAUGACGUAUGUAUUCAAGGCUCAGUCUGAUGAAAAGAUUUGGAAGCCUAGCAUAAGGUUAGGUUCUGACUAUCUCUGAUGCUCACAGAGAGCCGCCGAGACUUUGCAGUAGAAGACAAGGUCUUACAGAGAUAGCCCUUCAAGGCUUUUAAAAUCACUUUGCAGAGAAGAAUGACCCUGGACUUCUGAUACACUUCCAGGAAUCUGUCAAGGACCAUCUGCCACCACAUGCUACUAUAUACUCCCUAUAUGCAUGUUAAAUAAGCAAACAAAUGCCUACCUGCAUGCAGUCGUGCGGCAAGACAACUGUAGGGGGAGGUGUGUGUGGUGGGGCUUUUGGUACCUAAGAUGUGGCAGACUCCUUCCCAACUUGCUGGACAGCAUCAGUUUUGCAAAAACACCAUACUAAGUCACCUUCCCACAGCACCCAUUCUGCACCAGGAUUUGCUGAGCACUGAGAACCCCCACUUCUUCCCACAGCGCUAUGAGAAGAAAUGACUGUUUGUCUG